Molecule: ribosomal RNA, 253 nt
Filed under: uncultured bacterium
Lineage: Bacteria
Description: partial 16S ribosomal RNA
Rfam family: Bacterial small subunit ribosomal RNA
Source: RNAcentral
UACGUAGGGUGCGAGCGUUAAUCGGAAUUACUGGGCGUAAAGUGUGCGCAGGCGGUUGAGCAAGUCGAGUGUGAAAGCCCCGGGCUUAACUUGGGAAUUGCGCUCGAAACUACUUGACUGGAGUGUGGCAGAGGAAGGUGGAAUUCCACGUGUAGCGGUGAAAUGCGUAGAUAUUGGGAAGAACACCGGUGGCGAAGGCGGCCAUCUGGACCGGAACUGACGCUGAGGCGCGAAAGCCAGGGGAGCGAAUGGG